UUUGAUGUUGCCUAUAUAUAGCCAAUAUCUGGAACCAUUCUUGCAGUGUGGAAGGACAAGGUUCACUUCUUUCUCCCUGGAACAAUGAGGCACUAUUUUUUUCUUCUGUCGUUUAGAUCUCCAAACUCUAGUUUGCUAUCCAUUUCUAAUGUGGAUUUUCACAGAGAAAGUCCGGAAAGAUGAUCACUGUUCAUGGCAUUUCAGGAAAAUCUCAUACUGGAGAGCCAAGUGACGAUGGGAUGCAUCAGAGAGAGAGAUAAAGAGAGUUAAAAGAGCCAAAGUUUUGUAUUCACAGAAGGAAGAGGUUUGUCAAAGAGAGAGUUGAAAGCUAAUGAGUGUACAAAGAAAAUUCUACAGAGGUGGGAAUAUGUUACAUGAUCCAUGCAACCACAACGAGUGAAUAAUGAAAUGAUGGAUAUGGAGGGAAGAUGGAGUCGUGGAAGAGAAACCUUGCCGAGUCAAUCAGAAAUUUUGGACCGAACACGUGGGCAAGAAGAACGAGCCACACAUCUUAAGUAUGGGUGUCAAUCGGUUCAGUUCCCUUUUUUUGUUCAAUUUUGGUUUGAUUUUGGAUAUAAUAUGUAUAUGUCAACAUCGAAUAAUUUUCAUAAUCUCAAUUUGAAUUUGAUCUGAAA
Molecule: long non-coding RNA, 635 nt
Organism: Macadamia integrifolia
Lineage: Eukaryota; Viridiplantae; Streptophyta; Magnoliopsida; Proteales; Proteaceae
Exons: 2
Source: RefSeq, a predicted model, not a curated record